RNAcentral lists this long non-coding RNA (815 nucleotides) under Homo sapiens (human). RNAcentral describes it as "HSALNT0268926". The record is from RNAcentral. Lineage: Eukaryota; Metazoa; Chordata; Mammalia; Primates; Hominidae.
GCCAAGGUACAUAUGCCAAUAAAAGCAGGGAAAUGGGGAACAAAGGAUGUCAUAGCAACCUCAAGGAGCCCUGUUGUGCUACCGACUGCAGAGCUCAUGGACAUCCAUCAGGAAGCCUCCAAUACCCAAACCAGAGACAGAGGAGCAAAAGGACCUCUCCUUGUGUGAUGCUGGCUAACAUCCCACUGGCCAAAACAGGUUACAUGUUAGGUGCAAAGGAAAACAUACCUCAGUUGUGAUUCUAAAUCUGUCUCCUGAGAAAUCUUGGAUGCCUGCUGAUCAUUUUGAAUUCCUUGCCACCCUCAACUUUCUGGCUGCAGGGGUAGUUGCCUAAUCCAUAUCCAUGUGGAUAGCUCUUUACUUAGGAAACCUUGAUGGCUUAUUUGGAUGACAAAGGGGUUCCCUUUUGGCGAUACAUAGCCAUGCGAGACAACAUAGCCAUGAAACAAACCAAGUCCACCAGUGGCUUCCUAGGAACACAUUUGCUUUCCUGAUAAAAGAGGACAGAUGCAGUUGCAGAAGUACCUGUGCCUCUUUUUCUUUUUCUUCUUCUUUUUCUUUUUUAAUCUCUUAAAUGCAGAUAUAAGAACUGGUACUGAAGCAGCCAUCUUGUGACCAUAAGGAAGAAGCCAAGAACAUCAGAACCAGUGGCCUAGCCAUUGCACAGUCAUCUAAACACACCUCUGGACUUGUUAUUAUGUAAAAAAAAAUAAACACCUGCUCUUGUUAUUUGCAAUUCAACAUAAUCGUAACUUACAUAAUAUUUAUCAAAUUGAUACAAAUAAGAAAUAAAUUACUUGGGAAUAAAAUUUCCA